RNAcentral lists this small RNA (70 nucleotides) under Candidatus Pelagibacter ubique HTCC1002. Its description in RNAcentral is "bablM sRNA". It matches the Rfam family "bablM sRNA". Lineage: Bacteria; Pseudomonadati; Pseudomonadota; Alphaproteobacteria; Candidatus Pelagibacterales; Candidatus Pelagibacteraceae. The record is from Rfam by way of RNAcentral. RNAcentral also lists the same sequence under 1 other name.
GAAUCUAGUUAUUUCAAUCUCAGGUUGACGCAAGAAUCCGUAUGGAGUCUAAUUGUUUUAUACAAAAUGG